CUACGGGUGGCUGCAGUGGGGAAUAUUGCACAAUGGGCGCAAGCCUGAUGCAGCCAUGCCGCGUGUAUGAAGAAGGCCUUCGGGUUGUAAAGUACUUUCAGCGGGGAGGAAGGGAGUAAAGUUAAUACCUUUGCUCAUUGACGUUACCCGCAGAAGAAGCACCGGCUAACUCCGUGCCAGCAGCCGCGGUAAUACGGAGGGUGCAAGCGUUAAUCGGAAUUACUGGGCGUAAAGCGCACGCAGGCGGUUGGUUAAGUCAGAUGUGAAAUCCCCGGGCUCAACCUGGGAACUGCAUCUGAUACGGGCAAGCUUGAGUCUCGUAGAGGGGGGUAGAAUUCCAGGUGUAGCGGUGAAAUGCGUAGAGAUCUGGAGGAAUACCGGUGGCGAAGGCGGCCCCCUGGACGAAGACUGACGCUCAGGUGCGAAAGCGUGGGGAGCAAACAGGAUUAGAUACCCUUGUAGUC
Molecule: ribosomal RNA, 464 nt
Filed under: uncultured bacterium
Lineage: Bacteria
Description: partial 16S ribosomal RNA
Rfam family: Bacterial small subunit ribosomal RNA
Source: RNAcentral